CCUACGGGUGGCAGCAGUGGGGAAUAUUGGGCAAUGGAGGCAACUCUGACCCAGCAAUGCCGCGUGAGUGAUGAAGGUAAUUUUAUUGUACAGCUCUUUUCUUUGGAACGAAUAAAUGACGGUACCAAAGGAAUAAGCCCCGGCUAACUACGUGACAGCAGCCGCGGUAAUACGUAGGGGGCAAGCGGUGUUCGGGAUGACUUGGCGUCAAGGGUGUGUAGGUGGUUGGAUAAGUUAGAUGUGUAAUACCCAGGGCUUACCUCGGGUGCUGCAUCUAAAACGGUUGGACGUGAGUACAGGAGAGGAUAGUGGAAUUCCUAGUGUAGCGGUGGAAGGCGUAGAUAGUAGGAGGAAAAUCAGUGGCGAAGGCGACUAUCUGGACAGCAACUGACGCUGAGGCACGAAAGCGUGGGGAGCAAACAGGAUUAGAUACCCUUGUAGUC
RNAcentral lists this ribosomal RNA (443 nucleotides) under uncultured bacterium. RNAcentral describes it as "partial 16S ribosomal RNA". It matches the Rfam family "Bacterial small subunit ribosomal RNA", at positions 338 to 795 of the family's 1533-position model. The record is from RNAcentral.